This 462-nucleotide ribosomal RNA is filed under the name uncultured bacterium. Its description in RNAcentral is "bacterial SSU rRNA". It matches the Rfam family "Bacterial small subunit ribosomal RNA", at positions 1 to 507 of the family's 1533-position model. The record is from RNAcentral.
AGACGUCUACGAGUUUGAUCCUGGCUCAAGAACGAACGCUGGCGGCAUGCCUAACACAUGCAAGUCGAACGAAGGCUUCGGCCUUAGUGGCGCACGGGUGCGUAACGCGUGGGAACCUGCCCCUCGGUUCGGAAUAACAGUUAGAAAUGACUGCUAAUACCGGAUGAUGACUUCGGUCCAAAGAUUUAUCGCCGAGGGAUGGGCCCGCGUAGGAUUAGCUAGUUGGUGGAGUAAAGGCCUACCAAGGCGACGAUCCUUAGCUGGUCUGAGAGGAUGAUCAGCCACACUGGGACUGAGACACGGCCCAGACUCCUACGGGAGGCAGCAGUGGGGAAUAUUGGACAAUGGGCGAAAGCCUGAUCCAGCAAUGCCGCGUGAGUGAUGAAGGCCUUAGGGUUGUAAAGCUCUUUACCAGGGAUGAUAAUGACAGUACCUGGAGAAUAAGCUCCGGCUAACUCCGUG